RNAcentral lists this ribosomal RNA (253 nucleotides) under uncultured bacterium. Its description in RNAcentral is "partial 16S ribosomal RNA". It matches the Rfam family "Bacterial small subunit ribosomal RNA", at positions 524 to 776 of the family's 1533-position model. The record is from RNAcentral.
UACGUAGGGGGCAAGCGUUGUCCGGAUUUACUGGGCGUAAAGGGCGUGCAGGCGGUCUGUUAAGUGCAGGGUGAAAGCUCCCGGCUCAACUGGGAGAGGUCCUUGCAUACUGGCGGACUUGAGGGGGGUAGAGGAAAGUGGAAUUCCCGGUGUAGUGGUGAUAUGCGUAGAUAUCGGAAGGAACACCGAUGGCGAAAGCAGCGCGCUGGACCUCUUCUGACGCUCAGGCGCGAAAGCCAGGGGAGCAAACGGG